This 234-nucleotide long non-coding RNA is filed under the name Salvia miltiorrhiza (redroot sage). Its description in RNAcentral is "long non-coding RNA (SMIL_LNC012319)". The record is from RNAcentral. Lineage: Eukaryota; Viridiplantae; Streptophyta; Magnoliopsida; Lamiales; Lamiaceae.
GAAACUUUGAUGGUUUUGUUGAGGAUGUGUCCCACCAAAUUUUUAGGAGAAGGCAGUGAAUAUGGUUUGUAAAUAGGUUUAAACAUUUGGACCUCUUGAGAAACUAGUUGUAUUCCAAAGCAUUCUGUUUCACUUGAAAUAAAAACUAUCACCCAAACUUGGCGUUUGAUUCUGAAAAACUUAACUUGGUAAUUUGGAGAAACAUGGUUUUGGAAUAAGGACUUGUUUCCACCG